AAAGUCGUAACAAGGUUUCCGUAGGUGAACCUGCGGAAGGAUCAUUCAAGGAUUCAACUAUGAAAAGGAACGUAGAGGGGAGGCGAAAUAUUUGCUGACCCGAAACACCUUUUUAUAUUUUUACACCUAACCAAUCUUUUUGGUGGACAUGGCUUUUGGUACUGUGUGGUUAUACACGCAAUACCAUAGUUGUGAACCACCCUUAACACUUGGCUGAUAAACAGCAGUGUUGAUUUUACUUGUACAAGUAAAUCAAUACAGUUUGAUAUACUAAUACAAUACAACUUUCAACAAUGGAUCUCUUGGCUCUC
This 311-nucleotide unclassified non-coding RNA is filed under the name Basidiomycota sp. Its description in RNAcentral is "partial contains small subunit ribosomal RNA, internal transcribed spacer 1, and 5.8S ribosomal RNA". The stretch from base 1 to 47 matches the Rfam family "Eukaryotic small subunit ribosomal RNA", at positions 1785 to 1831 of the family's 1831-position model. Lineage: Eukaryota; Fungi; Basidiomycota. The record is from RNAcentral.